Chiroxiphia lanceolata (lance-tailed manakin) is the source of this 401-nucleotide long non-coding RNA. RefSeq lists it as uncharacterized. The transcript has 3 exons. The record is from RefSeq and is a predicted model, not a curated record. NCBI's taxonomy places the organism in Eukaryota, Metazoa, Chordata, Aves, Passeriformes, Pipridae.
AUCCUUUAAAAUCAGAAUGCCAGCUUGGAUUAGUUGCAGUAAGAGCUGAAUUUGCUCCUCCUGGUUUCCUUGUAGAAGGUGAAUGCAAGAACCUGCCAAGCAAACCAAUGGCCAAGGGGAUUGAUGAGUGCAGGACCUGAGAGAACCCCCUGAAAUGACAACCUGGAGUAGUUUGCAGUCUUAGAUUGCAAAGAUGGCCUUUGCUGCAUGUCCUGGAGCAAGGAAAGCCAAGAAACCUUUGCUUUUGCAGGAGAAAAUGGGGGAAGCGGGAAGGAAGAAGAGAAGCCCCGUGACUCCUCCCUGAGCCCCAGACAGCCCAGGAACUGCCUCCCUGGGAAUGGUGGCACGGGCUGGACUCUGGAUUGCUCCCUCUGGAUGUGUGGUGGUCUGGACUGCAGCCA